Molecule: non-coding RNA, 2443 nt
Organism: Phalacrocorax carbo (great cormorant)
Lineage: Eukaryota; Metazoa; Chordata; Aves; Suliformes; Phalacrocoracidae
Source: RefSeq, a predicted model, not a curated record
GUCACUUCCAACGGCCGCCGACGCGGCCCUUCCCGACCACCUUCUUGCUGCGGGGGGAGGGGGGGGGGAGCGGGCUGGGACCCCCGGACAGGGACCCCCCGAGCCGCCCCCCCCCGAGCCCCGCCCCCAGGUGCCCCCCGCGACCCCCAACGACCCCCCCCCGGCACCCCCCUGACGCCCCCAAACACCCCUUAUCCUCCCACCCCGGCCCUCCCCCCCCCCCGCCCCCGCUCCCCCCCCCCCCCCCAUCCGACCCCCACAAGUGACACCCCCCCCUCCCCCCUCCGGGGACCCCCCGGUUCCUCCCCCCCGGCCCCCCCUUACAAUUUCUGAGCGUGGCUGAUGCGGUUGUACAGGACGUUGAUCUGGGGAGGGCUUCUCCAUCAGGUCGAACUUCUCGGACUCGAGCUGGUGGAUCCAGUCGUGGAGCUCCUUGGCCUUGACCCUGGGGGGCGGGUGGGGGGUCAGCGGGGGGAUGGGGGGGUCAGCGGGGGGAUGGGGGCGGGGAGGGGCCCCACCUGAGCUCGUCCUCCCGCAUGUGCUCGAUGUUGAGGGGCCGCUUGCGCUCGGCCAGGAUCCGCAGCUUCAUCUCCCGGCCCGUCUGGCGCUUGCCCCGCUUCUGCUCCGCCUGGGGGGACGGGGGGGGCUGUGGGGCAGCCUGUGGGGCGCCCUAUGGGGCAGCCUCUGGGGGGCUACGGGCUGCCCCCUGGGGGCGCCCCACGGGGAUGACCCAGGCCGGGGGAUUUUGGGGGACCCUCCUGGCUCACAGAGGGCUGCCCCCUGCCCCGGGGGGGUGUGCUGUGGAGCUGGGGGUCGCUGUGGGGCUGGGCCCGCCCCCCACCUUGGCCAGGUACCCCCCGAAGUGGGGCAUGGUGGACAGCACUUUCUUCUUCUUGGCGUCAUCCUCCGCUCGCUUCUUGGCCUCCUCCUCCUCCUUGCGCAGCCUCUCCUCCUGGGCGGGACGCAGGGCGUCGGGGAGGUGGGGGGCACACGGGGGGUUUGGGGGGGAUGUGGGGCGGGGGCGCGGGGGUCCUGCUCACCGCCAGCCGCGCCUGCCGCUCCCGCUCCUUCUCCGUCCGGCUCCGCAGCUGCUCGUUGCGCUCGGUCCGACGGCGCUCCUGGGGCACCCCCCGUCACCCACGGGGACCCACGGGACCCCCCCCCCACCCAGUGCCACCCGUGGGGACCCACAGAUCCAUGCUGCCACCUGCCACUGUCACCUGUGGGGACCCACGGCCACCAACAGCCACCCGCGGGGACCCACAGACCCCCAUGGGCACCUUCCCCUGGGACCCCCCGGGACCCCCCCCCCGCCACCUCCAGCCCCCGGGGACCCCCCGGGACCCACAAUCCGCUCCAUCAGGGCCACCAGCUCCUGCUCCUCGCGGCGCCGCUGCUCGAAGUGGGCGUCGAUGAGGGUCUGCAGCUCCAGCAGGUCCUUCUCCAUGCGCUUGCGGUGGAUGUCCUGGGGGGGGGGGGGGGGGGGGGGGCCGGGGGGGGACACGGUCACCCGGGGGGGGACACAGCGUGGGGGGCACCGCCCCCCGCUGCGACCCACAGCUGCUCCCCGGGACCCCCCACAGUGGGGCCCUGCCAGCCCCAUAGUGAUGCCACAGCCCCAGCCCCAUAGCCCCCGCCAUCCCUAUAGCGCCCUCCAGCCUCACAGGGACACCCUCCCCCCCCAUAGCAACCCCCAGCCCCACAAGGACACCCCUCCCAGCCCCCCCCCCCAUCGCCCCCCACUCACAUCGAAGUCAACCCGCUCCCCCUCGGGGAUCUUGGGGGGGGCCAGCUGGGGCACGACAGGCCUGGGGGGCCGGGGGGCAGCGGGGGGGGGGGUCAGGAGGGUUGGAGGGGGGCAGCAGGGCUGCCUCACCCCCCCCAUCCCACUCCCCCCCCCCCGCUCACCGGGGCCGGGGCCGCUCCUCCUCUGUGGGGGGGGGGGAAAGGUGUCAGGGGGGUUUGGGGGGGCUCAGAGGGGGCGGGGGGGGCCUGGUGGGGGGGGGUCGUACCUGGCUCCUCUGGUGGUUUGCGGGGCCCCGAUGCUGCGGGGGGGGGGGGGGGAGGGAGAGAGCAGAGGGUCAAGGGCUGUGGGACCCCCCCCCAUAACCCCCCACAGGGUCUGGGGGGGUCCCAUGGAUUGGGGGGGCUCGGGGGGGGGCUUCCCCUGCACUUACCCUCCUCCUCUUCCUCCUCCGCCGGCUCCUCCUCUGUGGGAGAUGGGGGGGGGGACAGGAUCGGGCCCCCCCCAACCCCCCCGUGUUAAUUAACCAGAGCCGUUAAUGAGGUCGUGAUUAACGCCCCAACGCUCAUUAAGCCCCCCAAGUGUGGGCUUCCCCCCCCCCCCCCACCCUUUGCUGCCAGGGCCCGUCGUCAGCCCCGUUAAUUAACGCUCUGGGGGUUAAUUGGUGCUUCGGGGGGUUCAUUAAAGCGUUUUGGGGUU